Molecule: long non-coding RNA, 226 nt
Organism: Alligator sinensis (Chinese alligator)
Lineage: Eukaryota; Metazoa; Chordata; Crocodylia; Alligatoridae
Exons: 3
Source: RefSeq, a predicted model, not a curated record
AACAUGCUUGGCUUUGGUCUCUGAGGAGCUCUGGUCCUAGCAACAUCUCUAGCUUUUGUGGUUCCUGACCCUGCUUUGGCUUGCUCUUGGACUUUGCAGUGUGGCUCAUUCUUCAGAUUUGGCCUCCGGAAUGGAGUCCUGUAUCCACUGGACUCGAACUCACUGGUUGGAUGCUCCAACUACCUCAUCUUCCCGGCUCUGCAGGCAGAAAGAAAUCUACCCACAC